UGCAAAUCGAGGAUUGAGACGAGUAGGCAAGUGGAUCCAUUUUAGAGAGUCAGCGGCUGGUGGGAGCUGAUUGGAUUGCUUGCGCGAAUGGACUUAGGAGAGCUGGCCUGAAAGCGGAAGCGAGUAAGGGAGACGUAGGCCCUGCGUUAAAGGGAAAGGCGAAGAGCCUGUUUUAAGUGAGUGCAAAAUUGCAUUAAUGCGUGGUGGUACCGCGGUUUACCCCCGUCCCCGCA
Molecule: non-coding RNA, 233 nt
Filed under: Planococcus glaciei
Lineage: Bacteria; Bacillati; Bacillota; Bacilli; Caryophanales; Caryophanaceae
Description: Planomicrobium glaciei T-box sequence
Rfam family: T-box leader
About the family: Uncharged tRNA acts as the effector for transcription antitermination of genes in the T-box leader family. T-boxes are found upstream of many aminoacyl-tRNA synthetase genes and some amino acid biosynthetic genes usually in Gram-positive bacteria.
Source: RNAcentral